GAGGAGCUUGCUCCUCUGAUUUAGCGGCGGACGGGUGAGUAACACGUGGGUAAUCUGCCUGUAAGACGGGGAUAACUCCGGGAAACCGGGGCUAAUACCGGAUAAUAAGAAGAAACGCAUGUUUCUUUUUUGAAAGUCGGUUUCGGCUGACACUUACAGAUGAGCCCGCGGCGCAUUAGCUAGUUGGUGAGGUAACGGCUCACCAAGGCGACGAUGCGUAGCCGACCUGAGAGGGUGAUCGGCCACACUGGGACUGAGACACGGCCCAGACUCCUACGGGAGGCAGCAGUAGGGAAUCUUCGGCAAUGGGCGAAAGCCUGACCGAGCAACGCCGCGUGAGCGAUGAAGGCCUUCGGGUCGUAAAGCUCUGUUGUUAGAGAAGAACAAGUACGAGAGUAACUGCUCGUACCUUGACGGUACCUAACCAGAAAGCCACGGCUAACUACGUGCCAGCAGCCGCGGUAAUACGUAGGUGGCAAGCGUUAUCCGGAAUUAUUGGGCGUAAAGCGCGCGCAGGCGGUCUCUUAAGUCUGAUGUGAAAGCCCACGGCUCAACCGUGGAGGGUCAUUGGAAACUGGGAGACUUGAGUGCAGGAGAGAAAAGUGGAAUUCCACGUGUAGCGGUGAAAUGCGUAGAGAUGUGGAGGAACACCAGUGGCGAAGGCGGCUUUUUGGCCUGUAACUGACGCUGAGGCGCGAAAGCGUGGGGAGCAAACAGGAUUAGAUACCCUGGUAGUCCACGCCGUAAACGAUGAGUGCUAGGUGUUGGGGGGUUCCACCCUCAGUGCUGAAGUUAACACAUUAAGCACUCCGCCUGGGGAGUACGACCGCAAGGUUGAAACUCAAAGGAAUUGACGGGGGCCCGCACAAGCAGUGGAGCAUGUGGUUUAAUUCGAAGCAACGCGAAGAACCUUACCAGGUCUUGACAUCCUCUGACCACUCUAG
RNAcentral lists this ribosomal RNA (944 nucleotides) under Fictibacillus barbaricus. RNAcentral describes it as "bacterial SSU rRNA". It matches the Rfam family "Bacterial small subunit ribosomal RNA", at positions 73 to 1003 of the family's 1533-position model. Lineage: Bacteria; Bacillati; Bacillota; Bacilli; Caryophanales; Fictibacillaceae. The record is from RNAcentral.